GAUGAACGCUGGCGGCGUGCUUAACACAUGCAAGUCGAGCGAGAAGUUUUGAAAAGAUUCUUCGGAUGAAAUUUAAAAUGGAAAGCGGCGGACGGGUGAGUAACGCGUAGGCAACCUGCCCCAUACAAAGGGAUAGCAUUUGGAAACGAAUAUUAAUACCUUAUGAAACUUAACUAGUGCAUGCUAGGUAGGUCAAAGAUUUAUCGGUAUGGGAUGGGCCUGCGUCUGUUUAGCUAGUUGGUGAGGUAACGGCUCACCAAGGCGACGAUCAGUAGCCGACCUGAGAGGGUGAACGGCCACAUGGGAACUGAGACACGGUCCAAACUCCUACGGGAGGCAGCAGUGGGGAAUAUUGCACAAUGGGGGAAACCCUGAUGCAGCAACGCCGCGUGAACGAUGAAGGCCUUUGGGUCGUAAAGUUCUGUUCUAGGUGAUGAAAACUGACAGUAACCUAGGAGAAAGCCCCGGCUAACUCCGUG
Molecule: ribosomal RNA, 479 nt
Filed under: uncultured bacterium
Lineage: Bacteria
Description: partial 16S ribosomal RNA
Rfam family: Bacterial small subunit ribosomal RNA
Source: RNAcentral